UAAUCACUUGUCUUUUAAAUGAAGACCUGUAUGAAUGGCAAAACGAGGGCUUAACUGUCUCCCUUCCCCAGUCAAUGAAAUUGACCUCCCCGUGCAGAGGCGGGGAUAAAUUUAUAAGACGAGAAGACCCUGUGGAGCUUCAGACUUAAAAUAANCCACGUUAAACAAACUUCAAAAUAAGAAAAAACUUAGUGAAUUUUAUUUAAAUGUCUUUGGUUGGGGUGACCGCGGGGCAAAACACAGCCCCCAUGAAGAUAGGGGAGAUAUCCCUAACACCAAGAGUUACCCCUCUAAGCAACAAAAAUUUUGACUUUAAAAAUGAUCCGGCUCAGCCGAUUAACGAACCCAGUUACCCCAGGGAUAACAGCGCAAUCCCCUCCCAGAGCCCU
This 389-nucleotide ribosomal RNA is filed under the name Coryphaenoides rupestris (roundnose grenadier). Its description in RNAcentral is "partial 16S ribosomal RNA". It matches the Rfam family "Bacterial large subunit ribosomal RNA", at positions 1962 to 2502 of the family's 2925-position model. The record is from RNAcentral. Lineage: Eukaryota; Metazoa; Chordata; Actinopteri; Gadiformes; Macrouridae.